Molecule: long non-coding RNA, 631 nt
Organism: Chinchilla lanigera (long-tailed chinchilla)
Lineage: Eukaryota; Metazoa; Chordata; Mammalia; Rodentia; Chinchillidae
Exons: 3
Source: RefSeq, a predicted model, not a curated record
UUUCAUGAAAGAUUAAAUUCAAAUGAAGAGCUAGUAAGAGUGAACAGGAAGACAUUUGAUACUCCAUUCCCACCCUCAGAAAGAAAACAGGCUGUACAUCAGCAAAGAAAGCAUGAAGAGGAGAAAGAACUGGAAAGCAAUGUGAAUCCUAUGGAGAAAGACAGAAGAGCAGCACGCGCUGGAGUGAAUGCUCAGAGAAAGAGCUAUAGCUGAACAGAGAGAAUCGUCAGUCUUCUCUGGAAUUAUUGGAGGCAAACCACCCAGAGUUUAUGUAUCUAUACUGUAGAGAUGAAGAAAUAGAUAAAGUGAUCUUUCCAAGGCUCACAGACACUGAUGAUUGACUCCACCUCAGAGAUCAGCUCAGUACACUGAGGCCCAUAUUGCUCAAUACAUGUUUGGUGCAAAUCCCCCCGAGACAUCUAAUCAUGUCAAAUUUAAACCGAGACUAUCACUACGGGACUAGUGCAACAUGAGGUCUGGGGAAAUGAAAGGACCUGAGGGAGUCCUCCCAUAUACAGUUCCAGUACUACACCUUGACCUUAAAAUGAAAAACUUACUUCCUCUCCAUUUAUCUAUCCAUCCCUGAAUUCCUGCCCCUCGCCUUUACUCAGCACCUAUUCUGUGCUGGGAA